GUGUGGGUCGGUUCGCGGGACCGUCACUCCACUCGAAGUCCAGCAUUGAGUAUGGUUAUCACUGGAUUUGGCCCAUAGAGGGUGAGAGGCCCGUACGAGUGGAGGUUCAGACAUGUACGACGGUUCACCAGACCGGCCUCAGAGUCGGGUUGUUUGAGAUUGCAGCCCAAAGAGGGUGGUAAACUCCAUCCAAGGCUAAAUACAACCACGAGUCCGAUAGCGAACAAGUACCGUGAGGGAAAGUUGAAAAGUACUCUGAAGAGAGAGUAAACAGUACGUGAAGCUGCAUGCAGGUAAACGGGUGGCGUCAAGCUGCUAGCCCAGAGGAUUCAGCUGACUGGGAUGUAGUGUACGCACGCCUGGUGCGUCGAGAGGUCGGAAUAAGAUAUAGCGAUCUACUCCUCUGCUGGGAGUGGGGUGUAAUUGAUGCACGCUUGCGUGUAUUAGUUGUCACUAUGCAUGCCGGGUGGGUGCCGGAGCAUGUCGCUUGUCUGUUGGACCACCUAGUCAGUGCAUUUUCUCUGUGGUGAACACCACGACCGGUGGUAAUGCCAGUCUGCUGUGAUCAAGUCGUGUACACUUGGCAUACAUUAAUUGUGGUUAAGUGGAUACGAUCGCAGGCGGAGUCGGUGGACGGCGCAGUGGUACUUCGGUAUUGCUGUGUGCUAUCGUACACUCUCCGUCGUAAACAAUUAGGAGGGUUUGACUAAGUGCUGUGACUACUUCCUUCCUAAUUGGCGGAUCAUAGUGGUGAAAGGGACUGUGCAGGGCACCGGAGUUAUCCACCUCAUUCAAUAUGGUACUCGACACGCACGUUACAGGUGCUAAAUAAUAGAAUCGAGGUACGCCGUUGUCUGUCUAGUAUUGAGCCUGACUGUCGUGUUGCCUACGCAAAGUGGGUCCGAUAGUGGUUACGAUGCUUGGCAAUGUCAGUGUGUUGCGUAUCUCGGGUGUCUGUGGUACCGGGGGUGAAAUAGUCAGUGGUGCUGUGGUAGACGAGCUACCCGACCCGUCUUGAAACACGGACCAAGGAGUUUAACAUGUGUGCAAGUCAAAGGGUCCUACGAAACCCCUAGGCGCAGUGAAAGUGAAGUUCAUACUGCAUUUCUGCACAUGCGCGAUGCAGUGUGGCGAGGUGAGAUCUCGUUGUACUCAUGACACACGCCGCAGACCUUACUGGGCAUUAAUUGGGGCAACGAGCGCAUCACCGGCCCGUCCCAUGAUGUGGUCAUAGGCUAACUUGUGCGUGGAGUGG
This 1255-nucleotide ribosomal RNA is filed under the name Retinometra guberiana. RNAcentral's name for it is "eukaryotic LSU rRNA". It matches the Rfam family "Eukaryotic large subunit ribosomal RNA", at positions 150 to 792 of the family's 3401-position model. The record is from RNAcentral. Lineage: Eukaryota; Metazoa; Platyhelminthes; Cestoda; Cyclophyllidea; Hymenolepididae.